AUACGGAGGAUCCGAGCGUUAUCCGGAUUUAUUGGGUUUAAAGGGAGCGUAGGCGGACGCUUAAGUCAGUUGUGAAAGUUUGCGGCUCAACCGUAAAAUUGCAGUUGAUACUGGGUGUCUUGAGUACAGUAGAGGCAGGCGGAAUUCGUGGGGUAGCGGGGAAAUGCUUAGAUAUCACGAAGAACUCCGAUUGCGAAGGCAGCCUGCUGGACUGUAACUGACGCUGAUGCUCGAAAGUGUGGGUAUCAAACAGGAUUAGAUACCCUGGUAGUCCACACAGUAAACGAUGAAUACUCGCUGUUUGCGAUAUACAGUAAGCGGCCAAGCGAAAGCGUUAAGUAUUCCACCUGGGGAGUACGCCGGCAACGGUGAAACUCAAAGGAAUUGACGGG
Molecule: ribosomal RNA, 392 nt
Filed under: uncultured bacterium
Lineage: Bacteria
Description: partial 16S ribosomal RNA
Rfam family: Bacterial small subunit ribosomal RNA
Source: RNAcentral